GAAGAUAUUAAUUAACUUUCAUUAGAGUCACCUCAUUCAUGUACAGAUGAUCUGCAUAAAUAUUAAAAUUAAGAUUAGCUGAACAGAAAUUACACUUUAAUUCUAGAAUCCUCCUAGCAAUUUACACUACUUUCUCUUUUGCAUUCAAAAAUAUUCACCAUUUUCAAAAGGAUAGCCUGAUCACCAGAGAAACUUUACAAGAGCAGAGAAUAUCUGUGGAUUUUAGUACUGGACUGGUUAAGAGAGAGACCAUAGCAAUUUUCCUAGCUACUUCAAAAUACCAGCUAACCAUGAUGCCAAAUUUACUUGCCUGGAAAUCCAGUCUUGCUGAAAGGAUAUACCUCUUUCCAGCUAAUAAGUGA
RNAcentral lists this long non-coding RNA (362 nucleotides) under Cyanistes caeruleus (blue tit). RNAcentral describes it as "lncRNA (ENSCCEG00000014809.1)". The record is from RNAcentral. Lineage: Eukaryota; Metazoa; Chordata; Aves; Passeriformes; Paridae.